AGUGAACGCUGGCGGUAGGCCUAACACAUGCAAGUCGAACGGCAGCACAGUAAGAGCUUGCUCUUACGGGUGGCGAGUGGCGGACGGGUGAGGAAUACAUCGGAAUCUACUUUUUCGUGGGGGAUAACGUAGGGAAACUUACGCUAAUACCGCAUACGACCUACGGGUGAAAGCAGGGGAUCUUCGGACCUUGCGCGAUUGAAUGAGCCGAUGUCGGAUUAGCUAGUUGGCGGGGUAAAGGCCCACCAAGGCGACGAUCCGUAGCUGGUCUGAGAGGAUGAGUAGCCAAACUGGAACUGAGACACGGUCCAGACUCCUACGGGAGGCAGCAGUGGGGAAUAUUGGACAAUGGGCGCAAGCCUGAUCCAGCCAUACCGCGUGGGUGAAGAAGGCCUUCGGGUUGUAAAGCCCUUUUGUUGGGAAAGAAAAGCAGCAGGUUAAUACCCCGCUGUUCUGACGGUACCCAAAGAAUAAGCACCGGCUAACUUCGUG
RNAcentral lists this ribosomal RNA (492 nucleotides) under uncultured bacterium. RNAcentral describes it as "partial 16S ribosomal RNA". It matches the Rfam family "Bacterial small subunit ribosomal RNA", at positions 29 to 507 of the family's 1533-position model. The record is from RNAcentral.